UUUAAAGAUUACUAAGCACACCAAUAGGCAGAGAGAAGGAGGAAAGGGACUCUGGGUGAGGGCAACAGCCUAGAAAAAGGCUCACUGGCAGCAAAACCAUGUGUGGAUGGUUGUGUUCUCCUCCCGAGGCUGCUGGAACACAUUACCACACACUUGGUCCUGGUGGCUGCUAGCAUUCCUCGGCUUGUGGCCAUGUCACUCCAUCUCUGGAUGUGUCUGUCUUCACAUGGCCUUCUCCUCUGCCUCUGUCUUAUAGGGAUACCUGUGAUUGCAUUUAGGGGGAUAUCCGGGAUAAUCCAGGAUAAUCUCCCCAUCUCAACAUCCUUAACUCAAUCACAUGUUUUGCCAUGGAAGGUCUCUAAGAAAUUCAGAUUCAACCAGCCCAGCACGGAGUCUGAGAAUCUGAAUUUCCUGAAUCCCCCGCCCCCAUACAUCCAUACCGUGCAACUAUAAAAGGAAUGUGACAGUCUCUAGGCACCGAGGUGGGUGAUGACAGGAAACUGACAUGUGCAUCUUUGUGUGAUCACUGCUCCAAGAUGAAGUUCAUGCUGAAACAUGGAAGGACUCACCCGAGGCCUGUGUAAGUUCCUGGACAGGACAGUGAAGACAGCUAACCCAGGAAAGCCCCUCCUGAACCUCACAUCACAGCAGCUGGUUCUGGAGCCAGGGGAGGCCCAGCUACCAAACCACGAGAGGGAAUCCUGGACUCAGGGAUGGCCCAGCAUGGCCCUUUCCAUGUUCUAGAGGGCUCUUUCCUUUCCAGUGUCACGGGUACUUCUCCCAAGUGAUCUUUGAGUGUUCGCUUCCUCUUGGAGACACACAAAGGCAUGUCACCAGGUCAUCCUUCCUGCCCAGUGUCUUGUGUGAGCCAUCUUCUCACAUCCACCCCAUCUGCCACCCCAUCGUGUCCCCAUCCCAGCUCCCAUCCACAAAGUCACAGAGCUGAUCAGCUGGGACUUGGACCCGGAAAAUUACAUGUUUAAAA
Molecule: long non-coding RNA, 985 nt
Filed under: Equus caballus (horse)
Lineage: Eukaryota; Metazoa; Chordata; Mammalia; Perissodactyla; Equidae
Description: lncRNA (ENSECAG00000051484.1)
Source: RNAcentral